Molecule: transfer RNA, 73 nt
Filed under: Bifidobacteriaceae bacterium
Lineage: Bacteria; Bacillati; Actinomycetota; Actinomycetes; Bifidobacteriales; Bifidobacteriaceae
Description: tRNA-Thr
Rfam family: tRNA
About the family: Transfer RNA (tRNA) molecules are approximately 80 nucleotides in length.
Source: RNAcentral
GCCGCCUUAGCUCAGUCGGCAGAGCUCCCGCCUUGUAAGCGGACGGUCGCGGGUUCGAAUCCCGCAGGCGGCU